This is a long non-coding RNA of Cygnus olor (mute swan), 2323 nucleotides long. RefSeq lists it as uncharacterized. The transcript has 4 exons. The record is from RefSeq and is a predicted model, not a curated record. NCBI's taxonomy places the organism in Eukaryota, Metazoa, Chordata, Aves, Anseriformes, Anatidae.
AUAUGCUUCACAGACUCUUGUACUAGAACAAGGUUUUGUAGAUUUCAAAAUUAUUUUAAAAACAACUAAAUAACCUUCUAGCAUGAAGGUUCACUGAAACCAAGAUGAGCUAAUAGCGUGCUGCCGUAAGGAGAUAGUAGCCCUCAGAUAUAGGAGCCACUGCUUUUCAUCUCAAAGAAGCAUUUACAGUGAUAUUUAAAACAUAGAUGGGAAGUUCUGCAUGCAAAACAUAAGUCACUCUAUCAUAAAUUAGUUAGUACAGAACUAUUCCAAUGAAAUGCUCAAAAUUCCAAUGAGAAAAAAAUGAGAUGUUCCUACAGUUGAUUGCAUAUUUUUCUCCAUCAGUUAAACAGCCAUUGCAAUUUUAGUACACAGAACAAAGAUUAGACCACGUGUAGUUAAUAUGCGGGCAUUUGUAUUGUAAGAUGUUGUGAAUGAUGGAAGGUUGCAUUAAUCCAGUAAGCAACUGGAUGAAAUACAUGAGGGAAGAAUACUGCACGAAAGCUUUAGAUUUACCUUUGGCUCAGGGAGUGUCAUGUACAAAUGGUUGGGUGCUGGGGGAGCAUUCUCAGGAAGCAUUGCUGUGUGCUUGCUUAGCUCUUUUAUUUUUUCCUAGGUGCCUGUCCCUGGCAGCUGUUCUUCCCAAUUUUUGCCUUGCGUUCCAGUCCAUCUAAAGAAAAAAAAAAUGGGGAAAAAAAGAAAGAAGGCUUGCAAACUGUAGGGGAAAAAAACAAAGACAGGGAACUGGAGUGAAACACCUGGCAGAGGACUUGCAGUGAUACCUGUCGUUGCUUGUACAGAGUCAGCUACAGUUGGUGUAGAAGGUUAGUGAGGAAGUCCAGUUUUCUGUUCAUGGUGACGAAGAUGUUACUCAUACGUCUUAUGACAUAUGGACCUGGUGGUACAUACCUAGUGGGAAGAUACGUUGGAUGGGUGUUAUUUACUUCAUAGAAUCUGCACCAAAUCUUUGAGUGCCUCAUGGAGCUUAAAAACAUUUAUUAAAAUUCUACAAAUUAACUUGCUUAUCCGGGAUUACCAGUGAUGUGCUCACAUAUGUUGUAGAGAACCAUAAACUCUGCAGUCCUUGGAAGCUAAUCCUCAAAGCUGAUUUUUUUCUUAUUUCUUCAUAAAACAAAAUUAAGUUAAUGCAAGUUCUGGAGAUACUGGACGUAUGCACGAUGACUAGCUGUUGUAGAGAACUUCGCUCACAUUGAAAAGUCUGGAAGUGCAAGAGAUUCGACUCAAUUAUUUUGGUGUCAACUCUACAGCUGUCUCACCAUACUACACAACAUUUUUGGCAUUGUAACUUAGUCAAAAUAUAUUUGGGGGGAAAUAAUUCAAAUCAAAACAGUAUGAUAAUCCAAAAGUUAAGUAAUUUUUAAGAAAUCUCUUCCCAGCAUCCAUGCAUUUCAAACAAUACACAUUUAUAUCUUUGCUCUGGGUUAGCAAAUACAUGUUAUGAAAAGCAAACCAAACCAAACCAAAACUAUUAUUAUUUCUUUGACGAUCGGUAUAAUGUGCAAAAUAGAAAAAGUAAUUAAUUAACAAUUCAUGAAAGUAGUUGACUCCUAUUAAUGUGCCAUUGACCCAAGCACCACUGUUCAAAAUUUAAAGACCAGGGACCAUAAUAUUUAUUAUGAGGUCAGGCAUAUCGAUAUAGCAUUAAAAUGAGUCACAUUUAGUAUACUAGAUACAUGUUAAUGCAAAAAGUGUCACAGUUACACAGAUUUUAAGCAGCAGAAAAGUUAUCUGAUCCAGGAUUUCUUAUUUGGCAAUUAUUCUGAAAGAAUGCAGAGCAAAUGUUUUAUUGGAUUUGUGUUUGGUGUGAGGGCUCAACAAAUGUUGAGGCACUGUGGUCUGCUUAUGUGAAGCAACAAAUUCUGUGGGAGGCAGUCUCCCUUUUCUGCCCUUCCAAUUAUUUUCUUAACUAUUUUGCAUAAUGUUUGGAGAACUUCAUCCCUCUUGUCCAUUAGAGCAGAUUGCUAUAAGCUGUAGACUUCUAGAAGAACAAUGUAAUUUCCCCAAAUUAUUUUCCAUUGUAUUCAUAAUGAAAAUCUGACACUCCCCUCUUCUUUCUAUGUGGCUUGUUUCUUGUACUGCAUGUGUUUACUGUCUAUUCCAUUAAAUGGAAUUUUUUUGAGAGUAAGGUGGUCAGGGAGAAGAAACAAGUAUAUCUGGUCUGUCUGUGUUCAGUUAACAAAGCUGUAUUUGGAUGUGGAUAAGUUUAAAAUUCAAGUGUAAAACCAAAUUACAGCUGAAAAUUGAGUUCACUUUGCUGGCGCUUAAAGAUAGUAAUUUUUUCUUUUGGUAAUUCUAUUGCUGU